This is a non-coding RNA of Mycena rebaudengoi, 91 nucleotides long. The record is from the annotation of a GenBank genome assembly. Lineage: Eukaryota; Fungi; Basidiomycota; Agaricomycetes; Agaricales; Mycenaceae.
UCGGAUGUGGUGCACGGUGCACAUUGGCUUCUUGUAAAGUGUUCAACCAAUGUGAUAGCUGAAGAACGGGGUUCGACUUCCCGCAUCCGAA